Molecule: unclassified non-coding RNA, 262 nt
Filed under: fungal sp.
Lineage: Eukaryota; Fungi
Description: partial internal transcribed spacer region
Rfam family: Eukaryotic small subunit ribosomal RNA (bases 1-46)
Source: RNAcentral
AAGUCGUAACAAGGUUUCCGUAGGUGAACCUGCGGAAGGAUCAUUACCGAGUUCGUGGGCGUUCCAACCGGACCCCAAACUCCCACCCUAUGUGUACCUCAACCUCGUUGCUUUGGCGGGCCUGCGCGCCCUCAGAAAGCGCGCUGCCGGCUCCGCUGGCUCGUGCCCGCCAGAGGACCUUCAAACCCCUGUUUUUAUCAGUGCCGUCUGAGUGUAAAACUUAAUACGUUUAAAACUUUCAACAACGGAUCUCUUGGUUCUG